This 253-nucleotide ribosomal RNA is filed under the name uncultured bacterium. RNAcentral's name for it is "partial 16S ribosomal RNA". It matches the Rfam family "Bacterial small subunit ribosomal RNA", at positions 524 to 776 of the family's 1533-position model. The record is from RNAcentral.
GACGGAGGGUGCAAGCGUUGCUCGGAAUCACUGGGCGUAAAGGGUGCGUAGGCGGUCUCGCAAGUCUGGCGUGAAAGCCCAAGGCUCAGCCUUGGAAGUGCGCUCGAAACGGCGAGGCUGGAGUGCCGGAGGGGAGAGUGGAAUUCCCGGUGUAGCGGUGAAAUGCGUAGAUAUUGGGAAGAACACCUGAGGCGAAGGCGGGUUGCUGGGCCGACACUGACGCUGAGGCGCGAAAGCCAGGGGAGCAAACGGG